RNAcentral lists this long non-coding RNA (2893 nucleotides) under Phaseolus vulgaris (common bean). RNAcentral's name for it is "long non-coding RNA (PVUL_LNC000139)". Lineage: Eukaryota; Viridiplantae; Streptophyta; Magnoliopsida; Fabales; Fabaceae. The record is from RNAcentral.
CAAUGUCACUUUGAUAAAUUUAAACUCAUGUCAUACAUAUACAACUUCUUCAUAAUAAAGUCCUGUGGUAGUAAGAGGAUUUAUUCCUAGGUAAAUAAUUUAAAAUCUACCCAUUUCUAUAAUUUUUGUAAAAUUACACAAAUUUGAUAAAAUUACAGCAACAAAGCUAUUUGAUAUUAAAACAGAGAGACGAUAUUGAAGUUUCCAAGGGGAACUCUCUUCAGCAGGUACAAGAACGCGGAUUGUAAGUGAAGCACACUUGUAGAAAGCUGUCAUGGAGUAAAAGAUAAGUUACAUUGAAGACAUGAGAUCAUAGCCCUUACAAGAGGGUGCAUCAUGAACAUUAGGUUCUCUAGGGAAGCCAUUGCUUAGUUGUUCUUCGAGUUGAAGGAUGUGUCUAGUGCAUGGAUAGCAUGCAAUUGAAACAUAUGUAUGAGUCAGAAAAUUGAAGAAGCUUCGCAUGAAUCUUUGUCCCAUUUUAUCAGGCUAUCACCACCACCCCUAUCGAUCCAACUCAUGCCUUCUAAUUAGAGUUUCACCUUCAUCUUAAAUAAACCCAUAUUUGGGUUUUCCUUCUGCAAAUUAUUCACAAACAGCUUUAGAAAUAUACCACUGCUUUCUCCAAAUUCCUUUCUUAGCAAUAAUGAAAUUUUAUAUCAAGAAUAACUUUAGGUCUUAAAACAUUAUAAUAAGAACUAAAGAAGUCUUGAGUUGAUUGAAGAAUGUACAAGAGUUGUGUAAUCUCGUUAUUGACUUUUAUGAAGAAAAAAAAUGUUAUAAUAAGACAAGGAUUUUAGUGGGUUAGGAACAAUCAUACUCUCUCUUGUUUACUUAUUGUCAUUUGAUUCUUAAGGUUGAAAACGAUCUAUUUUUGCCUUUAUUUCAUUUUUUAUUAUUGAUUAAAAUUUAUUAAAUCAUGAAUACCACUUAUUAAUGAAAAAAAAGAGGUAUUCUAACAUUACUUCAUAUUAAAAUUGAAACUUCCAAUUUUUUUUCAAUAUUCUUUUAUUAUAUAUAAUCUAUAUAUAUUUGUAGCAAUUUAUUUAUAUAUAGCAAUAUGCAAAUAGGGAAAAAAAUCAAAAUUAAAAAAAUUAAAAUGUAUAAUAUUUGUAGUUUGAUUAAUACAUUUCAAAUCUUAGAAUCUUUUAAGAAACUUUUACUAUAUCUAAUUUGAUUUUAAAUAAAUUUUAUCACUUCACCGUUAAUUUUAACCAUCUUUAUAAAUUUUGUUUCAAUAAUAAUGUUUUAUAAGCCUCGCAUUUCUAUACUUGUUUAUUAAAAAUAUAAUUCUUUUAUAAUUUAAAAUUUAAUUAUUAGAAUUAAAUUUUAAUUUAAUGAUAGUAUUCUAAAUAGUACGUAUUAUUAAUAUUAAAUAAAUUGUUCAAAAGCUUUAGAAUCUUAUAUAAAAUUAAGAUCUUAAUAUUUUAAAAGUCUUUUAUGUUAUGAUACAUAAAAAAUGUUCCAAGAGAAUAUGUUACUAGAUCUAACUCUUGCCCCAAAUCAAAGUAUGUAUUUCUAUUCGCUAAUUCUAUUAUUAUCAACCUCUUUAUUAAGGCUUCAAAACUUGAAAACAACACUACCAAUAAUUACCUUUCCUUACACAAAAAGCCAGUGAUGCUCGCAUCUUUUGUUAUGUGAUUUUGGUUUUUGAAGUAUUAUAGAACUCAUCAAGCAUCGAAAUGAUCGAUCCUUCUGUUUGUUUGCUUCAUUAUUACUUAAUUUCCAACAUAGAUUACAAAGCCCCACAAUCACAAUUGUUUUAGAUCCCCCAUUAACUUUAUUAACAAAAAUAAAAAGGGAAAAACUUAUCAUUUUUCAAAAUAACAUAUUAUCCUACAAAACCUUAAUAAAAUAAUCUAAAAGUUAGAAUAAAAGAAAAAACUCAUUAAAAACAAAAAGGAAUUUAAUAAGUUGAAAAUCCUAUAUCACAUUAUGAUUGGUAAAAAAAAUAAUAUUUUACUGAAAUAAAACAAUUUCAAAAUUUAUUUAGUGAACAAUCUUAAAAUUUCAUCGAUCAAAACACAAUUGUACAUUAAAAACACCAAUUUACAACUUUAAUUUCACAAAUACAAUUUUAAAAUUAUUCAAUUCUAAUAAAUAUAAUUUCAAAAUUCUUCCUUAGACCAAAAAAUUAUUUCUCUUACUAAUUAUUAUACCGGAGUUCUUAACCUAUCAUUACUCUAUAAAUAAUGGAUUACAUUAUUAGCAAAGACUACUUAUUAAUCAGUAGCACAGUUUUUAUAAAAUAACAAAGAAGAAAGAAGAGAAGAAAAAACACCCCAAGAUUUGUUUAAUGUAACCUAAUCUGGACCUAACUUGGGAUGUGAAGAAGAAUAUUCAAACCAUCAUAUAAAAAGAACAUAAAAGUACGUACCUGAAAGCAACUGUUAUUUGGUUCUAUACGAGACAUAGCUUUGCAUCCCAAAAUUUGAGGUAAACUGAACUUUGAACCAAUAGAUGAAGAACAAGAAGCUAAUGUUGCUUUCAAAAGACACCUUUCACUGAUUCCGGGGCUCCUGAUUCAUUCAAUGGACCACAACACCCAGCAAAUUGUAAGAACAAACAACAGAUAAGAGCUGCUCAUAAAAACACUUCCAUCAUUCUAUGCACAAUGUCUGAUAUUUCAUCAAACUGUAAUAACAUCUGGAUGUUUUUUUUUCCUUUUCUGUUGUGCUAAGCAGAAACAACCAUCGAACAACUAAGAAACGAAAAGGGUUUUAUAUAUAAUAAGGUGAUGAAAAGCAUAGGUUAUAUGAAAAAUAAAGCCAUGAAUUAUGAAGAUACCAUAGAUUAAGCCUCAGGUUGUAAAGAUGAAGAAGAGGGUGAAGGAGGAGCAGCCAAGUUUAGUGUGUGGCCACUCCUCUCGAAAAAGAGCUUCCACCUUAAACCAAAA